RNAcentral lists this ribosomal RNA (504 nucleotides) under Turbinella rapa. RNAcentral describes it as "partial 16S ribosomal RNA". It matches the Rfam family "Bacterial large subunit ribosomal RNA", at positions 1797 to 2560 of the family's 2925-position model. The record is from RNAcentral. Lineage: Eukaryota; Metazoa; Mollusca; Gastropoda; Neogastropoda; Turbinellidae.
CGCCUGUUUAUCAAAAACAUGGCUCUCUGUAUAUUGAAGAUAGAGAGUCGGACCUGCCCGGUGAAUUUUUUAACGGCCGCGGUACUCUGACCGUGCAAAGGUAGCAUAAUCAUUUGCCUUAUAAUUGAAGGCUAGAAUGAAUGGUUUGACAAGAAUACAACUGUCUCUUUACAAUUACAUAAAAUUUUAUCUGCAGUUGAAGAAGCCUGCAUUUGAAUAAAAGACAAGAAGACCCUAUCGAGCUUAAAAAAAACUGGUGGAAUAACAAACUUAAUCCUAACUUAUAAAUAAAUAAAUAGUCAACUACUGGAAAUUUUGGUUGGGGCGACCGGGGAACAAAAAAAACUUCCUUUAUAAAAAUUUAGAUGCCCAAAUAUUGAUCCAGCAUUAUAUGAUUAAAGAAAUUAGUUACCGUCGGGGUAACAGCAUUAUCUUUUUUAAGAGUUCUUAUCGAAAAUUGUUUGUGACCUCGAUGUUGGACCAGAAUAUCCUAAAGAUGCAGCC